CUGUUUUUUUGUAGAGAUGGGUCUGGCUCUGUGGCCCAGGCUGGUUUUCCCUUUUUGAGGGAAGAAAAGAAGUUGUCUGUGGGACAUGAGUGCUGUGUGUACUAUUUUUUCCUUGUUAAAUGAGACCUGAGAAAACGUGAACCUGGAAUGUCCCAGGUGGGAGGGCAAACCCCAGUCCACCCUGGGCCCAGGGCCCUGGGCUGCUCACCGGCCCGCCACGUCCUCCGUGGGCCUGGAGCCUCUCCAGGGGUAUUGCCUCUAGGGCCUGCAGUGUGUCCUUGUGAACAUCCUCAGCUGGGCAUAACUUAGUCUCCUGAGGGUGAAGUUGAUCUUGAGAACAGCCCAGGGCUGCCCUGAGAGCGGUCACCGAGCAGCCCUGAGGUGCAGUGGGUACCGGUGCUGCCUCUAGGCCUCUACUUCUGGGGACCCCAUGGCUCCAGCUCCUCGGCAGGCCCCCCAGUCCUCGCCCCCAUGGCCAUGUCCAUUUGCUCGUGUUGCAGGGAGUGAGACCUGACUGGAGCUGGGGGGCGCUGGCUCUCCCACUGUCCGCGAAGCUGGGUGACAUCAGGUGUGUUGUUUUACUACUAUGCCUCAGUUCCUCAUCUGGGAAAAUAGAGAAUAAUGGCAGCUGCCGCUUAGGUUGUUAGGAUGAUAAAGUGAGAUAAUCUGUGUGAAGUCUUUCUAACGCAGUGCCUGGCUUGGCAGAAACAAUAUUAUUUCUGACAGCCUGGCUUCCUGUCACCAUCGUCUCUGCGUGGCGAUGGCCACAGCAGCGCUGAUGGGCCAGAGUCAAACUCCUUCCAUCUCCUGCCCGUGGGGGCGAGAAUCCCAGCCCGGGGCCUAGGGGCCUGGGUCACUCCGUGCACUCCCGGGGACCCUGCAAAGGGCUUGCAAAAUCAUUCUAUCUUGGGUGUGUACGUUUCUGGGGAGAGGGUCCACAUCUUUCACUGCGUGCCCCAAGGGCCUCUCACCCAAAAAGGCUCACAGCCUGUACGGUGACAUUUCUCCUGACACGGCCCCAGGAGGGCCCAUGUGGUGCACAGGAGAACCUUAGACUGGACCUCAGGCAGCAGCUCUGCUGCUGAUGACCUGGGGCCUGGGCAAGUGAUAUUAGCCCCUCUCUGGGGCUCAUUUCCUGUCCACAGAAUGCAGGUGCUAAUAUCUGAGGGGCAGCGAGCUGCUCUCGGAAAGCCCUUCACACUCGGGGCCCCUCUCGGCUCUGCCCCCAUCUUGUGCUCCUCCUCUUGCCACUGAGUAGGGACGUUUCUUCCCUAGGGCUGACCUCAGCCUGGUCUCCUUUUCUUCCUCAGGUGUGGUUUAAGGGCAGAGUUUGGAUCGGAAGACCCACGUCUGAAUCGUAGGUGAAGACUAUGGGGAAGGAUCAGGGACCAAGGCCAUGGAGAGGGCUGUGGUUCUGAGGGCUGCAGGAGGGCACGGGAGCGGCUGGGGGAGGAGUGGAGGGAGGGAGGCUAUCUGCAGCCCCCACCCCACUCAGCCCCGCAGAGCGCAGAGCAGCAGGGUAUACUCCCAGGCAUGACACCAGGCGAGGGGGCACUGCCCUCAUCCUCCUGGAUACCCGAGUCUCUUAUCCUUUAGUGGUUUAAAUUCUCUCUCCCCACUGGGGCAGAAAUCUCAGUGCUACUAUUUCUUCAAACCAUUUAUAGCGCCAGUUUUCGAAGCACACUCACCUGUUGUCUUACUUAUCCUUAAUGGGGGUUCUGCCCCCGCCCCCCCCCCCCCCCCCGCCCACAGAGGGUCAGGAAUGUUUGGGAUGUGCAGCCAAGCCACGUUCUUCCCCAGGUGUGCAAGAGCUCCCCGUGCACGGCCUUAGAAUGCCUUAUUAGGAAAAGUUGGGGUGGGAAGUGUCAGGCCUCUGAGCCCAAGCCAAGCCAUCGCAUCCUCUGUGACUUGGACGUAUACGCCCAGGUGGCCUGAAGUAACUGAAGAAUCACAAAAGAAGUGAAAAUGCCCUGCCCAGCCUUAACUGAUGACAUUAUCUUGUGAAAGUCCUUUUCCUGGUUCAUCCUGGCUCAAAAAGCUCCCCCACUGAGCACCUUGCAACCCCCACUCCAGCCCGCCAGAGAACAAUCCCCUUUGACUGUAAUUUUCCUUUACCUACCUAAAUCCUAUAAAACGGCCCCACCCUUAUCUCCCUUAUCUCCCUUCGCUGACUCAGCCCGCCUGCACCCAGGUGAUUAAAAGCUUUAUUGCUCACACAAAGCCUGUUUAGUGGGCUCUUCACACGGACGCGCAUGCAAGGAAGGAGGUUUUUCAUCAGUGGACCAGCUUACUUAGAUUUUCACCAAAUCAUCCGAUUCAUCUGCAGAAUUUGCUUUGGGAACUGCCUAGGAGUUUGUUUUCAAUUGGUCCACACGUGCUUGGCAAACACCCUGAGUGUUGCAGACUGUGGGUUUAGUCUUCCACUGGAGUAUUCUCAAAUUGCCUUUGCAGUUUUAGAAUAAGACCUCUUAUAAUAAGCUUCCCACUGUCAAUGUUUUCAGACACUUUAAAAAAUGCCUCUUGCUGCAGGGCUUCUUCUUGAUAUAUGCCAGUCACACUCCCCCAAACUCCUCUCCAAGUAGAGAACUAAAGCUCUAUCAAAUAUUUCAUCCCAACUUAAUUUUCUAGGGUAUUUGUUGUUGUUGUUGUUGUUGUUGUUGUUUAUUUUGGCAGUUAGGCUUGUUCCUGAAGUUUAAAUGGCACGGUUUAAAUCAUGUUCUGUGCAUACAGGGAGGCCAUGUGUUCCCUGGGGCCCAGGACACCCAGCCUGGGUGCUACGUAAUGCGGCCUUCCUGUCUUAUGGGGCAUUGCUAACAGGUGGCCCAUCCCAAAUGCCUGCAGAUUUUCAGAGGGGCGCUGAACUCCCCAGAGAGGAAGGAUAGUGCGGAGAUUUCCAUUGUCUUGCUUUGGUUUAGAAAGCCCCAGGGUAGGGGUGAGUCCUGGUCCCGCCCCAGCCCUCGUGAAGACCCACCUGCCUCAGAGAAUGGCUGAGCUCCAGAGACACCUGAGUCAGUGCCCAGCCUGGCAGGAUCUUCUGCAACUACGUGCACCGGCACCUGUGCUGCAGGCCUCCCGCUCCCAGCCACGGACCAGCACCUGGGCUCAGGCCUUUAAGACCAGGAGUUGGCUGUGGAGGCUGAGGAGAGGCGAGACUUUGGCGUGCGGCUUGCGUGACUGCAACUAGACAAGGCAUGACUACUUGGACAUGUCAACCAAUCCUUAAGGAUGCAAUGAAACAAAGCAAAUCCAGUGGCUCAUUAAGACAGUACAAGAGACAAAUGCGACAAAACGUCAACUGGUGAACAUUCACAGGAUUACUAAACACUGCAGAAAUUCUCUAACAGGAUUUUUUUAACCAAGUUUGUGUAAUACAAUUUCAUGAAUUAUGCAAAUAAAGGUUUAGGCUAUUCACAGAAAAGCCCAGUGUUAUGUUACUUUCAUUGCAUAGAACUGAGAACUGAACACAUCAAUCACAAAAGUCACAGGAGACACUGCUGCAUUCCUGCUUGCUGAUGGCUCUGUUGAAACAUUUCCAUUUCAGACAAUAAAAAAAAAAAAAAAAAAAAAAAAAGGACAUUGCUAUUUUGCAGCACAGCAUACUAUUUACUUCCAACUGUGAUUCUUUUUUAUUGUAAAUUGACAGUUUGUAAUUAUAUAAAUUUGGAGUACAAAUUGAUGUUAUGAUAUAUGAAUGUAAUGUGGAAUAAUAAAAUCAAGCUAGUUAACAUAA
Homo sapiens (human) is the source of this 3730-nucleotide long non-coding RNA. RefSeq lists it as uncharacterized. Lineage: Eukaryota; Metazoa; Chordata; Mammalia; Primates; Hominidae. The transcript has 2 exons. The record is from RefSeq and is a predicted model, not a curated record.